This 1039-nucleotide long non-coding RNA is filed under the name Polistes fuscatus (common paper wasp). RNAcentral's name for it is "uncharacterized LOC122513487". Lineage: Eukaryota; Metazoa; Arthropoda; Insecta; Hymenoptera; Vespidae. The record is from RNAcentral.
CACCACCAUUCCACUUAUUCCAAUGUUUUUUUUUUUUUUCAUACUUCUCGAUCAUACCUCAUUGAUCAUUUGAUCAUCAUCGUAAUCAUAAUCGGUUACAAUUAACCUUGAAAAUGUGAUAUCGGAUAUUUGCGAUGAUGAAUUUCUUAUGAGUUAUGGGAAGAGUGAAAAAGUGGAAGGGAGAGGGGUGGAGGGGCUGUUGGCGGGGGGAGGGACGGAGAGGAAGAGGAAAAAAAGAAGGAAAGGAAAGGAAGAUCGUUACCGUGAAUAUUUGAGGAUUUUAAUUCACCUGUCUGUCUGCCUACCUGUCUGUCUGUCUGUCUGUCUGUUUGUUUGUACUGUGUUUAAUCAUUCGAUUGAAUUAUUUUUUUAAAGGAUAGUUUUAUCGAUGGGAUGUAAGAACGGGAAUGUACUUUCGUUAAGAUUUCAAGAUUAGGAUGGGGUGUUGGGUUAUAUAUGGCGGGCCUGUGUUAGGGUACGGGGGAUGCUCUUACGUGAUAGAAUUCUUUUCGGUUCAUCGAAGUGAACACACUGUGAGAGAUUUGUACGUAUUUUAAUUUGUUUUUAAUUAUAAUUGAAUACAACAAUUGAAUAAACAAUGUUGGAGUAAAACAAUGUUGAAUAAAAAACAUGUAUUCUAUACAUGUAAAUGUGAUAUGUAUUUUGAUAUUAUUAUGUAUAAUCACCAACAAAUGUGCACAAACAAAUGUGCACAAACAAAUGUGCACAGUAUUAUUCUAUUACACUACUACUAUCAUCCCAAGUGUAUUUUUGUUGUUGUUUUUAGUUCAGACACGUGUGUGGUUAUUUAUCAAACUACAUGGUGUCAAUUUUACAAACAAAAUACUACAAAAAAUGAUAGGAAAUUAUUGAAAGGAAAAACAAAAUCGUAUAUAUUGAAUGAAAAAUAUUAUAUAUAUAUUUUUUAUUUUUUCUUUCUUGUCCUUUUUAUCACCCUUUUUUUCAGACCUUGUAAUAAUCGAUUUCCCUAGGCUAUAACGAAAAUAAAUAUCGUAAUCGAAGCGUUUAAUGUACACAA